Molecule: ribosomal RNA, 636 nt
Filed under: Burkholderia sp. IBb328
Lineage: Bacteria; Pseudomonadati; Pseudomonadota; Betaproteobacteria; Burkholderiales; Burkholderiaceae
Description: bacterial SSU rRNA
Rfam family: Bacterial small subunit ribosomal RNA
Source: RNAcentral
GCACCCUGAUCCAGCAAUGCCGCGUGUGUGAAGAAGGCCUUCGGGUUGUAAAGCACUUUUGUCCGGAAAGAAAACGUCUUGGUUAAUACCCGAGGCGGAUGACGGUACCGGAAGAAUAAGCACCGGCUAACUACGUGCCAGCAGCCGCGGUAAUACGUAGGGUGCGAGCGUUAAUCGGAAUUACUGGGCGUAAAGCGUGCGCAGGCGGUCUGUUAAGACCGAUGUGAAAUCCCCGGGCUUAACCUGGGAACUGCAUUGGUGACUGGCAGGCUUUGAGUGUGGCAGAGGGGGGUAGAAUUCCACGUGUAGCAGUGAAAUGCGUAGAGAUGUGGAGGAAUACCGAUGGCGAAGGCAGCCCCCUGGGCCAACACUGACGCUCAUGCACGAAAGCGUGGGGAGCAAACAGGAUUAGAUACCCUGGUAGUCCACGCCCUAAACGAUGUCAACUAGUUGUUGGGGAUUCAUUUCCUUAGUAACGUAGCUAACGCGUGAAGUUGACCGCCUGGGGAGUACGGUCGCAAGAUUAAAACUCAAAGGAAUUGACGGGGACCCGCACAAGCGGUGGAUGAUGUGGAUUAAUUCGAUGCAACGCGAAAAACCUUACCUACCCUUGACAUGGUCGGAAGUCUGCUGAGA